This 84-nucleotide transfer RNA is filed under the name Felis catus (domestic cat). It matches the Rfam family "tRNA". From Rfam's summary of the family: Transfer RNA (tRNA) molecules are approximately 80 nucleotides in length. Their secondary structure includes four short double-helical elements and three loops (D, anti-codon, and T loops). Lineage: Eukaryota; Metazoa; Chordata; Mammalia; Carnivora; Felidae. The record is from Rfam by way of RNAcentral.
GCCUGGUGGCUCAGUCGGUUAAGCAUCUGACUUCAGCUCAGGUCAUGAUCUCACUUUUCGUGGGUUCAAACCCUGCAUCGGGCU